UACGUAGGGAGCGAGCGUUGUCCGGAAUUACUGGGUGUAAAGGGAGCGCAGACGGCAGUGCAAGUCUGGAGUGAAAGCCCGGGGCCCAACCCCGGGACUGCUCUGGAAACUGUACGGCUAGAGUACGGGAGGGGCAGGCGGAAUUCCUAGUGUAGCGGUGAAAUGCGUAGAUAUUAGGAGGAACACCGGCGGCGAAGGCGGCCUGCUGGACCGAAACUGACGUUGAGGCUCGAAAGCGUGGGGAGCAAACAGG
Molecule: ribosomal RNA, 253 nt
Filed under: uncultured bacterium
Lineage: Bacteria
Description: partial 16S ribosomal RNA
Rfam family: Bacterial small subunit ribosomal RNA
Source: RNAcentral